GUGGGGAAUAUUGCGCAAUGGAGGCAACUCUGACGCAGCCAUGCCGCGUGCAGGAAGAAGGCGCUACGCGUUGUAAACUGCUUUUAACCGGGAAGAAACCCCAGGACGUGUCCUGGGUUGACGGUACCGGAGGAAUAAGCACCGGCUAACUUUGUGCCAGCAGCCGCGGUAAUACGAAGGGUGCAAGCGUUAUCCGGAUUCAUUGGGUUUAAAGGGUGCGUAGGCGGAGCGUUAAGUCAGUGGUGAAAUCCUGCAGCUUAACUGUAGACUUGCCAUUGAUACUGGCGCUCUUGAGUGCGCUUGAAGUGGGCGGAAUGUGCCGUGUAGCGGUGAAAUGCUUAGAUAUGGCACAGAACACCAAUUGCGAAGGCAGCUCACUAAGGCGAUACUGACGCUGAGGCACGAAAGCGUGGGGAUCGAACAGGAUUAGAAACCCGGGUAGUCC
This 445-nucleotide ribosomal RNA is filed under the name uncultured bacterium. RNAcentral describes it as "partial 16S ribosomal RNA". It matches the Rfam family "Bacterial small subunit ribosomal RNA", at positions 354 to 796 of the family's 1533-position model. The record is from RNAcentral.